Molecule: ribosomal RNA, 252 nt
Filed under: uncultured bacterium
Lineage: Bacteria
Description: partial 16S ribosomal RNA
Rfam family: Bacterial small subunit ribosomal RNA
Source: RNAcentral
UACAGAGGGUGCAAGCGUUGCUCGGAAUCACUGGGCGUAAAGCGCACGUAGGCGGAUCUUUAAGUCAGGGGUGAAAUCCCGGAGCUCAACCUCGGAACUGCCUUUGAUACUGGGGAUCUCGAGUCCGGGAGAGGUGAGUGGAACUGCGAGUGUAGAGGUGAAAUUCGUAGAUAUUCGCAAGAACACCAGUGGCGAAGGCGGCUCACUGGCCCGGAACUGACGCUGAGGUGCGAAAGCGUGGGAGCAAACAGG